Molecule: ribosomal RNA, 460 nt
Filed under: uncultured Bacteroidota bacterium
Lineage: Bacteria; Pseudomonadati; Bacteroidota
Description: bacterial SSU rRNA
Rfam family: Bacterial small subunit ribosomal RNA
Source: RNAcentral
CCUACGGGUGGCUGCAGUGAGGAAUAUUGGUCAAUGGGCGCAAGCCUGAACCAGCCAUCCCGCGUGCAGGAAGAAGGCGCUAUGCGUUGUAAACUGCUUUUCCAGGGGGCGAACCUCCCGCACGAGUGCGGGACUGACGGUACCUUGGGAAUAAGCAUCGGCUAACUCCGUGCCAGCAGCCGCGGUAAUACGGAGGAUGCGAGCGUUAUCCGGAUUUAUUGGGUUUAAAGGGUGCGUAGGCGGAUUAAUAAGUCAGUGGUGAAAACCUGCAGCUUAACUGUGGAACUGCCGUUGAUACUGUUAGUCUUGAGUAUGGUCAAGGUAGGCGGAAUGUGUAAUGUAGCGGUGAAAUGCUUAGAUAUUACACAGAACACCGAUUGCGAAGGCAGCUUACUGGGCCGUUACUGACGCUGAUGCACGAAAGCGUGGGGAUCGAACAGGAUUAGAUACCCCUGUAGUC